RNAcentral lists this ribosomal RNA (497 nucleotides) under uncultured bacterium. RNAcentral's name for it is "partial 16S ribosomal RNA". It matches the Rfam family "Bacterial small subunit ribosomal RNA", at positions 28 to 507 of the family's 1533-position model. The record is from RNAcentral.
GACGAACGCUGGCGGCGUGCCUAAUACAUGCAAGUAGAACGCUGAAGAGAGGAGCUUGCUCUUCUUGGAUGAGUUGCGAACGGGUGAGUAACGCGUAGGUAACCUGCCUGGUGGCGGGGGAUAACUAUUGGAAACGAUAGCUAAUACCGCAUAAAAUGGAUUAUCGCAUGAUAAUCCAUUGAAAGGUGCAAAUGCAUCACUACCAGAUGGACCUGCGUUGUAUUAGCUAGUUGGUGGGGUAACGGCUCACCAAGGCGACGAUACAUAGCCGACCUGAGAGGGUGAUCGGCCACACUGGGACUGAGACACGGCCCAGACUCCUACGGGAGGCAGCAGUAGGGAAUCUUCGGCAAUGGACGGAAGUCUGACCGAGCAACGCCGCGUGAGUGAAGAAGGUUUUCGGAUCGUAAAGCUCUGUUGUAAGAGAAGAACGAGUGUGAGAGUGGAAAGUUCACACUGUGACGGUAUCUAACCAGAAAGGGACGGCUAACUACGUG